ACUAGGGUAGUAUAGGACUAGGGUAGUAUAGGACUAAGGUAGUAUAGGACUAGGGAGGUAUAGGACUAGGGUAGUAUAGGACUAUGGUAGUAUAGGACUAGGGUAGUAUAGGACUAGGGAGGUAUAGGACUAGGGUAGUAUAGGACUAGGGUAGUAUAGGACUAGGGUAGUAUAGGACUAGGGUAGUAUGGGACUACUAGUGGGGUUGUUAGACUGGGUAGUAUAAGACUAGGGUAGUAUAGGACUAGGGUAGUGGUGUUGUUAGACUGGGUAGUAUAGGGCUAGGGUAGUAGAAGACUAGGGUAGUGUGGUUGUUAGACUGGGUAGUAUAGGACUGGGUAGUGGGGUUGUUGGACUGGGUA
Oncorhynchus tshawytscha (Chinook salmon) is the source of this 362-nucleotide long non-coding RNA. The record is from Ensembl. Lineage: Eukaryota; Metazoa; Chordata; Actinopteri; Salmoniformes; Salmonidae.